RNAcentral lists this ribosomal RNA (590 nucleotides) under uncultured bacterium. Its description in RNAcentral is "bacterial SSU rRNA". It matches the Rfam family "Bacterial small subunit ribosomal RNA", at positions 102 to 669 of the family's 1533-position model. The record is from RNAcentral.
ACGGGUGAGUAACGCGUAGACAACCUGCCUUUUAGAUGGGGACAACACUGCGAAAGUGGUGCUAAUACCGAAUGUUGUAACUUUGUCGCAUGAUAAAGUUACUAAAGGUGGUCUCUAUUUAUAAGCUAUCACUAAAAGAUGGGUCUGCGUCUGAUUAGCUAGUUGGUGAGGUAAUGGCUCACCAAGGCGACGAUCAGUAGCCGGUCUGAGAGGAUGAACGGCCACAUUGGGACUGAGACACGGCCCAGACUCCUACGGGAGGCAGCAGUGGGGAAUCUUCCGCAAUGGACGAAAGUCUGACGGAGCAACGCCGCGUGAGUGAAGAAGGUUUUCGGAUCGUAAAGCUCUGUCUUCAGGGACGAAUGUUACUAUUUUGAAUAAGGAUAGUAAAUGACGGUACCUGAGGAGGAAGCCACGGCUAACUACGUGCCAGCAGCCGCGGUAAUACGUAGGUGGCAAGCGUUGUCCGGAAUUAUUGGGCGUAAAGCGCGCGCAGGCGGGAAUAUAAGUCUAUCUUAAAAGUGCGGGGCUCAACCCCGUGAGGGGAUGGAAACUAUAUUUCUUGAGUACAGGAGAGGAAAGUGGAAUUC